This 72-nucleotide transfer RNA is filed under the name Spirochaetales bacterium. RNAcentral describes it as "tRNA-Gly". It matches the Rfam family "tRNA". From Rfam's summary of the family: Transfer RNA (tRNA) molecules are approximately 80 nucleotides in length. Their secondary structure includes four short double-helical elements and three loops (D, anti-codon, and T loops). Lineage: Bacteria; Pseudomonadati; Spirochaetota; Spirochaetia; Spirochaetales. RNAcentral also lists the same sequence under 1 other name. The record is from RNAcentral.
GCGGGAAUAGCUCAGUGGUAGAGCUCCACCUUGCCAAGGUGGAUGUCGCGGGUCCGAGUCCCGUUUCCCGCU